AUUGAACGCUGGCGGCAUGCUUUACACAUGCAAGUCGAACGGUAACAGGCCUUCGGGUGCUGACGAGUGGCGAACGGGUGAGUAAUGCAUCGGAACGUGCCCAGAGGUGGGGGAUAACGCAGCGAAAGCUGUGCUAAUACCGCAUGUGAUCUGAGGAUGAAAGCGGGGGACCAAGCAGCAAUGUUUGGCCUCGCGCCUCUGGAGCGGCCGAUGUCAGAUUAGGUAGUUGGUGGGGUAAAGGCCUACCAAGCCGACGAUCUGUAGCUGGUCUGAGAGGACGACCAGCCACACUGGGACUGAGACACGGCCCAGACUCCUACGGGAGGCAGCAGUGGGGAAUUUUGGACAAUGGGCGCAAGCCUGAUCCAGCAAUGCCGCGUGCGGGAAGAAGGCCCUCGGGUUGUAAACCGCUUUUGUACGGAACGAAAAGGCUCUGGCUAAUACCUGGGGCUGAUGACGGUACCGUAAGAAUAAGCACCGGCUAACUACGUG
This 492-nucleotide ribosomal RNA is filed under the name uncultured bacterium. RNAcentral describes it as "partial 16S ribosomal RNA". It matches the Rfam family "Bacterial small subunit ribosomal RNA", at positions 30 to 507 of the family's 1533-position model. The record is from RNAcentral.